AGGGAGCAUUGUGAGAUUGAGAGAGAGAGCGGCGGAUAAGAGAUAGAGAGAGCAUUUGAGGUUGUGUUUUUGUUAGAACGAGUUUGUGCUUUUUUCUUAGUGUUUUUUUAUUUAUUCCAUACAGAAUAAGUCAUUUUUAAAACUAUUAAUUUAUGAUUAGGUUUCCUAGGUUCAGUCAAUAAAUAUUUUCCAUUUCCCAUUUUAUUCUCUUUUUGAAGAAACCAACGGCCAGGGGUUGGGAUUAAUUAGGGUACUCUACAGUUUUUUAUUAUUUAGUUUUUUCAUUUUAAUUCUUUUUUAGUUUAUCUUAGUUUAUAUAUUUAAGUUAGUAUUAAAAUAUCAGUUAGUUAGUAAGUGGUCUAGUGGAGGGGAGUGGUUUUUUAGAUCUUUAGUGUAGUGGGUUCGAUACUCCUAGGUGUAGUUUUUUUUCUUUUAACAUUUUCUUUUAUAUUUAUGCUUUAUUAUUCAUAGUUUUUUUAUUAUUGUUUAAAAAUAUAGAUUUGUUUUUUCUUUUAAUUGCAUCAUGUGUUCGAAACCAUUUGAAAACUAUAAAAAUCAUACGUUUCUCGAUUUAAUAUCGAGCCCUUUUUCACACCCUUGUAAGUCGAUUGCUU
This 614-nucleotide long non-coding RNA is filed under the name Lathyrus oleraceus (garden pea). RNAcentral describes it as "Pisum sativum (pea) long non-coding RNA (PSAT_LNC001243)". The record is from RNAcentral. Lineage: Eukaryota; Viridiplantae; Streptophyta; Magnoliopsida; Fabales; Fabaceae.